This is a non-coding RNA of Pelobates cultripes (western spadefoot toad), 390 nucleotides long. The record is from the annotation of a GenBank genome assembly. Lineage: Eukaryota; Metazoa; Chordata; Amphibia; Anura; Pelobatidae.
GUUCCGGCGCCGCGCGGUCGAUCGCGGCGCACCUUCACACGCGGGCGGCGGCCAUCUUGGAUCUCGCGGCUCGCGAGAUACCGGAGGGCCGCCUUCCCCGCUUGCCCGGCGGAUCGGUAACUCACCCGACCGCCGGGCUCCACAUCUGUAUACCCUCCCUAGUGUGUACUAGGGAGGGUAUUAGUGUAGCAGGUGAUAUUUUUGCCCAGUGCCUGCCUGCUGUGCUGCAUUUACAAUAUAUGAAUUAAAGAGACAAGCACCCCCUUUUUGUUGCCAGCUCAAGACCUCUAUGUCUCUAUACCCUGCUUAGGGUCAUACCAGUUAAUAUACCCCAAUUAGGGUUAUACUAUAUACUGUUAUACUCUCCACAAGAUCAGAGUUAGGUACAGG